AGCAAUACUUAGUGGCAGACGGGUGAGUAACAUGUGCCUAUCUACCCUUUGGCCUGGAAUAACACGAGGAAACUUGUGCUAAUACCGGAUAAGUCUUUACGGAGAAAGCUUUAUGCACCAUUGGAUGAGCCCGCACUUGAUUAGUUUGUUGGUAGGGUAAUGGCCUACCAAGACUAUGAUCAAUAGCUGAUUUGAGAGGAUGAUCAGCCACAUUGGGACUGAGACACGGCCCAAACUCCUACGGGAGGCAGCAGUGGGGAAUCUUGCACAAUGGAGGAAACUCUGAUGCAGCGAUGCCGCGUGAGUGAAGAAGGCCUUUGGGUUGUAAAGCUCUUUCGUCGGGGAAGAAAAUGACUGUACCCGAAUAAGAAGGUCCGGCUAACUUCGUGCCAGCAGCCGCGGUAAUACGAAGGGACCUAGCGUAGUUCGGAAUUACUGGGCUUAAAGAGUUCGUAGGUGGUUGAAAAAGUUGGUGGUGAAAUCCCAGAGCUUAACUCUGGAACUGCCAUCAAAACUUUUCAGCUAGAGUAUGAUAGAGGAAAGCAGAAUUUCUAGUGUAGAGGUGAAAUUCGUAGAUAUUAGAAAGAAUACCAACUGCGAAGGCAGCUUUCUGGAUCAUUACUGACACUGAGGAACGAAAGCAUGGGUAGCGAAGAGGAUUAGAUACCCUCGUAGUCCAUGCCGUAAACGAUGUGUGUUAGACGUUGGAAAUUUAUUUUCAGUGUCGCAGGGAAACCGAUAAACACACCGCCUGGGGAGUACGACCCGCAAGUUAAAACUCAAAUGAAUUGACGGGGACCCGCACAAGUAGUGGAG
RNAcentral lists this ribosomal RNA (816 nucleotides) under uncultured Alphaproteobacteria bacterium. Its description in RNAcentral is "bacterial SSU rRNA". It matches the Rfam family "Bacterial small subunit ribosomal RNA", at positions 84 to 937 of the family's 1533-position model. The record is from RNAcentral. Lineage: Bacteria; Pseudomonadati; Pseudomonadota; Alphaproteobacteria.